UACCUUUGAUUAUUCAAACAAACGUGUAAAAAUAUUUUUCCAACACAAAGAAAUACAAUUUAUAACGUGAAAGACUAGACAACCUAGGGGUGGUCCAGUUCUUGAUUAUUCAAACAAACGUGUAAAGAUAUAUGGGGGGUUGUAUGGUGUGCUGGAUGUAUUUAUACAAAAAUUUAUAUGGGGGUUGAAUUGUGCUGAGAUUGAGAUUGAUUUGUCAUGGAUAUAUAUAAACAUAUCAAGCAGUGGCUAGGAUUAUUGUGUUAAACAUCACCCACAAUGUUGCCCAGGGUGUUUUUUGGUUCCAUUUUUAGCAUCCUUGAGGGCUUUUACUACUUGAUUAUGAUCCUUCCCUUGUUCAUUAAUCAAGCCUUUCAUUAAACCUCAUCGUCAAACUGGCCUCCUGCAUCUCUCACAAGCGGUCUUAUGCAGUUUCUGGCAGUGUUAUAGGAAGAUAGUCUCGGAUUGAGCAAGAGAGAAAGAAACAACCAUUGAAUUCUAAAGAUUCAAGAGAAGUGAGUUUCAUCAGGUUAAGCUGGAGAUCAAAACCUGGACAUUUACAGUGUUGAGUUGCCAUCCCACCUAAAAGUUUAAACUUGUAGGUGAAAGCUUAAUAUAUAUUAGAUCAAUAUACUGAUCGUCAGUUGUUUAAGAGCAGUAUCAAAUGGUUUGUAUUCCAAUUUCCAGCAAGCAUGCCAAAAACGAAUUUCUAUUGAUUUCCAA
This is a long non-coding RNA of Pistacia vera, 720 nucleotides long. RefSeq lists it as uncharacterized. The record is from RefSeq and is a predicted model, not a curated record. Lineage: Eukaryota; Viridiplantae; Streptophyta; Magnoliopsida; Sapindales; Anacardiaceae. The transcript has 2 exons.